UCCCUGGUGGCUCGGUGGUAAAGAAUCUGCCUGCAAUACAGGAGACCCAGGUUCAAUCCCUGGGUUGGGAA
Molecule: transfer RNA, 71 nt
Filed under: Ovis aries (sheep)
Lineage: Eukaryota; Metazoa; Chordata; Mammalia; Artiodactyla; Bovidae
Rfam family: tRNA
About the family: Transfer RNA (tRNA) molecules are approximately 80 nucleotides in length. Their secondary structure includes four short double-helical elements and three loops (D, anti-codon, and T loops). Further hydrogen bonds mediate the characteristic L-shaped molecular structure. tRNAs have two regions of fundamental functional importance: the anti-codon, which is responsible for specific mRNA codon recognition, and the 3' end, to which the tRNAs corresponding amino acid is attached (by aminoacyl-tRNA synthetases). tRNAs cope with the degeneracy of the genetic code in two manners: having more than one tRNA (with a specific anti-codon) for a particular amino acid; and 'wobble' base-pairing, i.e. permitting non-standard base-pairing at the 3rd anti-codon position.
Source: Rfam by way of RNAcentral